Molecule: ribosomal RNA, 186 nt
Filed under: uncultured bacterium
Lineage: Bacteria
Description: partial 16S ribosomal RNA
Rfam family: Bacterial small subunit ribosomal RNA
Source: RNAcentral
CCUACGGGAGGCAGCAGUGGGGAAUAUUGGACAAUGGGCGAAAGCCUGAUCCAGCAAUGCCGCGUGAGUGAUGAAGGCCUUAGGGUUGUAAAGCUCUUUUACCCGGGAUGAUAAUGACAGUACCGGGAGAAUAAGCUCCGGCUAACUUCGUGCCAGCAGCCGCGGUAAUCCAGCAGCCGCGGUAAU